This 1060-nucleotide long non-coding RNA is filed under the name Phascolarctos cinereus (koala). RNAcentral describes it as "lncRNA (ENSPCIG00000031867.1)". The record is from RNAcentral. Lineage: Eukaryota; Metazoa; Chordata; Mammalia; Diprotodontia; Phascolarctidae.
UCCUGACCUCUUUGCUUCCCCUGCAGCCUGCUCACACAGCUACCAGGGAACUGUGUGGUCCCUGUGUUCUUUGCUGGUUUUAACACUGAAUCAGGUGUUUUCAUGUUCUCUGCCACCAUAGCCCUCUUCCCUGUCCCCCACUGGACUCAGUGUUUCUCAGGAGAGCUGUGAAGGCAAGAUGCCAGAGACAUCCUCGGAGGAGCUGUCUCCUAAUCCUGACCGGAAAGCUGAGACUUCCCCACCUCCAGAAAUGGAUCCCAAAGACAACUCGAAGGGCAAGGGCAAAGGGGACUCUGGUGCCAAAGGUGGGCAGCAAGGCUCUGUUCCCAAGUGGUACAAGAUGAAAGGUGAGGAUCUCCAAGGCAACUGGAGUGAUCUGGCGAAGAUUGAACAGAAGGUGGAUACUCUGCUAGAGAAGAUGGAUCUGUAUAACAAGGAGGGUGGACCCCCGCCACAGGCUGCUGAGGAGGCGAAGAAGAUCCCACAGCCGCCGCAGCCCCAGCCACCCCAGCCACAGCAGCCGCAGCAGCCCCCUCCAGUGCCGCCACUGCCAACCCGGCAGGAGCAGGCGCUGCCCCAGCAGCAGCACCACGGUGGCAAAGGCCAGAAGAAGUUCAAGGGGUAUAUUAAGGGGGCUCCCACUGAGGUUGGUGGAGGAGGCAGUGGUGGUGGUGUGUGGGAAAGUUUGCUUAGAGGGGUGGAGCCUGGACCAGAGGGAUGCUGCAGAUCAAGGCCUGGAGGACCUGCGGGGUGGUUCCAGGAAGAGGCAGUGGCAGCAGCAGCUGCAGGGGCCCCCUCCCCAUGACAUCUGGGCCCUUGUGCUAGAGCCAGCCUCACCUGGUCCCCUCCCCUGGUAUCCUCCAGCACAGUUGUCCCCAAUCUUAAUCGCUCCAGGCUCCCUAAUUCAGCUCUUUCUAGCAAGUGGCCGCCCCUGCCACUCCCCAAAGCAUUCCUUGGAGGCCCCCCAGUAAAGCAUCUGCUAUUUUGCUCCUUAGCUCUCAUAACUUUUCUCUGCAGAUUUGACAAUAAAAACAUUCUCUUGCUUCUGUGGUGCUUUUUU